RNAcentral lists this ribosomal RNA (429 nucleotides) under Gemmatimonadota bacterium. RNAcentral's name for it is "Gemmatimonadetes bacterium partial 16S ribosomal RNA". It matches the Rfam family "Bacterial small subunit ribosomal RNA", at positions 355 to 776 of the family's 1533-position model. Lineage: Bacteria; Pseudomonadati; Gemmatimonadota. The record is from RNAcentral.
UAGGGAAUCUUCGGCAAUGGACGAAAGUCUGACCGAGCAACGCCGCGUGAGUGAAGAAGGGUUUCGGAUCGUAAAACUCUGUUGUUAGAGAAGAACAAGGACGUUAGUAACUGAACGUCCCCUGACGGUAUCUAACCAGAAAGCCACGGCUAACUACGUGCCAGCAGCCGCGGUAAUACGUAGGUGGCAAGCGUUGUCCGGAUUUAUUGGGCGUAAAGCGAGCGCAGGCGGUUUCUUAAGUCUGAUGUGAAAGCCCCCGGCUCAACCGGGGAGGGUCAUUGGAAACUGGGAGACUUGCGUGCAGAAGAGGUGAUUGGCUUUCCAUGUGUAGCGGUGAAAUGCGUAGAUAUAUGUAGGAACACCAGUGGCGAGGGCGCCUCUCUGGUCUGUCACUGACGCUGAGGCUCGAACGCGUGGGGAGCAAACAGG